This 395-nucleotide long non-coding RNA is filed under the name Gopherus agassizii (Agassiz's desert tortoise). RNAcentral describes it as "lncRNA (ENSGAGG00000008209.1)". Lineage: Eukaryota; Metazoa; Chordata; Testudines; Testudinidae. The record is from RNAcentral.
GCUGGAGUUCCUCUGAUCAUGUUGCACUUAUUUGCAGAACUGCAGGUGUGAGAUUUAUUUAGAUGGAACAUAUAUGCAUGAGCAGCUAUGGAAAAUGUCAGCCUUCAUAGAAUAAGCUUAGAGACGUCUACAACGACAGAAGAAUCGAAGUCUCAAAAGGUGAGUCUGGAGGAAGAUAGAGAGAGGGAGAAAACCGUCUGGAUUUGAAUUGUGAGAUCUGGACCCAAGCCUUGUAAUGAUGGGUGAAGAAGGCCCUCCCAGUUUGGAGUACAUCCAGGCCAAGGACUUGUUCCCCCCAAAAGAACUGGUUAAGGAGGAAGAGUAUUUACAGGUAAGGAUGUAAGAACCCAGGAAACCAUCCACUGAAGAACACUGUGUAAAUCCCAGGCCACAGG